Molecule: long non-coding RNA, 399 nt
Organism: Glossina fuscipes
Lineage: Eukaryota; Metazoa; Arthropoda; Insecta; Diptera; Glossinidae
Exons: 3
Source: RefSeq, a predicted model, not a curated record
UUAUGCUAUAAAAUGCAAAAUAUUAACUCAACAAAGCCGUAACGUUUUUUUUGUCAAAAAAAUUCCUCCCCUCCUUUUCAACACCACCUUGAGAUGGACUAAGCGAAUAGAUUUGUGGCUUAUAUUUCCAGAUAAUAAAAAAUUACCGAGUUUAAAACCUUGAUUAUGGAAAAAGCUGGAUGGAAAAGAUGGAUUUUCAUAAAUAUCAUUGCGUGUAUAUGAAACGUAAUGUUAGAUAAGAAAAUUCUUCUUUUAUGUCAAAAGUCAAGAGUCUAGAUGCACUGUGAGAAAACUUGUUUGGUGGUCGUGCCGUCAUAUUAUGCCUCAACCCAUCUAAUAGGUAUAAAAAGAUACGCCCUUAUUAAACGUUGACUGGUAUUCUCUCGUUUUAUCCACAAU